GAGGGGAAUAGGCGCCUCCUAACAACUUUCAGCACCUUUACCAAACUACAGUUCCCAGGAUACUUUGGAGGGAAGAGGAGCUGUGACUUUUCUAAAGCAGCAUGAAACUGCUUUCAGUGUAUAAUGCAGAUGAGGCCUAAGAUUUCCUUCAGAGUAGGCAUAGAUAGGACUGUGUUGUUACCUGGGAGUAAGCCCCAUUGAGCAAUGGAGGUUAAUUCCAAGUAGGCAGGCCUAAUAUCGGAUUGCACAUCUAUUAAGAGUCCUAGUAAGACAUUUUCAACACGAUUAUAGAGCAGGAGAAAAGAUACUUACAUAAGAAAGUCAUUUUGAAAAAUAAAAGUGCAAAUGAAAUGAAUCAGAACUAGUCCUGGGCCUUGACAGUAGCCCGAUAUGCAGACCAGUAGCAAUUCAUAAAGCUAUUUCCACCACUUUUGUCUCCGCACAAUGCUAAGUAUCUUUGCCAAAUGUUAUUAAAGCCAGAGGAGCAAGGCUAGUGAAAAAACAGUGGCGACUUUACACAGAAAGGGGGGAUGUGAUUGCAACUGUACAAAUGUGACUGGGCAGCGGAAGUGAGAAGCGUAACAAGGACCAUCUGUAUUAUCUGUGAAUGGAAAUACAUUUGGCAAUAUUUCACAGGCUUGUCAAGUAAGGAGAUAUUACCCCUCGACUUUGAAGGAAGGUAAUGAGUCAGAGAGCAAAGACCAUACAGGAACUGCGCAAUUCAAAUACGUAAACAAAUGAACAGAAUGAAACAUAUCUUUUAGUGAAACCACUAAAGACUCCAUUACACAAACACAGCUGUUCAUACUCUUGGCAGUACCACUUUGGCUAUUAAUUUGAAUCGCGCUGAAAAGAAAGGUGGAAAUUGUGGACAGAUUUACACCAGGGAAAGUAAAUAACAGUGGUGGUGAAAAUGGGGUGAAAUCAGCAGAUGCAGAGGAACAAGAAAUUCCAGUAAAACAUUUUCUUCACAUCACUGUGCUUAGAGUACCAAAUGCAUGAUGAAGAGGUUCUCUGGAAACAUGCAAUCUGCGUGCCGCUGAAUUGCAGUCUGUGUUCUGAAUAUUAAUUUGAUUCAAGGUAGUGCCUGAAAGGACUUCGGAAGGAAAUUACAAAUUAUGGGAAUUAGAUAUUACAUGGAAAUGCUUUAGCAUCUAUAACUGGGACAAAUUCCAAGUAACUGCCUUUGCAAUAUAGGACUGCUGCUGAGUCAUCCCACACUGCUCUAUAACAGUGCCUUAUUUUUGAUUAUUCAUGCUGGCAUGGCCUUAAGAGUUUCAAUAUCAUCAAGAAAUAAUCUAAGAUAUAAAAAGGACUCUGAAGAUUUUCUUUGAGAAGAAAUAAGGAGCCUGUAGGGUGGGUGGAACUGAUUCAAUUUAUUAAGCCUUAUUUCCUGUUUCAUUUACCAACCUAUCUAGCAGCAUGCUCAUCAAGAUUUGCUGCUGCAAAUCAGAUUUUAGUAUGCAAACACUUAAGAUUGAGCUGUGCCAAUAGCUAUGCCAGCACAACACCACAAAAUGUAAUAUUUGCCCAUGCCAAAAUCAAAGGAGAUGGUAGAAGCAUGGUAGAGAGCCCUUAUAGACUAGUUUCUCACUCCCAGGUGUAUUCUGCAACAUUUCAUUGAUGCAAUAUCCGCGCAUUAGUGAUGGAUUUAUACAGGACCGCCAACACAUCAUUUCACUUGUGCAAUGCUGCCCCAAUGUUACUACAUUUUUGCUCUCUGCAGGGAUGCUGUUCCACUAUACAGAACCAAAAGCGGGACAAAACCUUAGCACAAUUGUGGUAUAAAAAGUUACAGGAUUUCUGCAGGAAGUAUCGGGAUGUACAUUGAUUGGAAACAAAGCAGUAUGUCAAGUAUUCAAAGCAGGAUUGUACAGUAUAUAACUGCCCUGAUAUCAUCCUGAGCACGAAUCAUAAUGAAUGCACAAUUAAAAAUAUAUGCUUGGAGGACUGUUGCCAUGUCGGCCAUGAGAGAUUGCCCCAAGAGACUGCAACCCUUCAAAAGAAAAGAAAAAAGUCUUCUGGUGCAGUGUAAUCUAUGUGAUUUAAGGAAUAAAUUAGGAGUGUGUAGGGAGAAGAGUGUGGCUCUGUCCUAAAAUAGAAAACUGUUGCAUGUUUUUACAAAAAUCAGAUGCGCCUGGUGGUUUGCUGGGUUUGUUGCAAGCAUGAAGGUGGUAAGAUCAAACAUUUACCCUGUUCGUAAUUAAAAGGAUUUUGAGAAUUCAUCUUUCUAUUUUCUAUUUUCCACCUAGCAAAUCUUGGAUACAAAAUUACAGAGCAGUUUCUGGGCAGCAAACUUGUGGGUGGCAUAUACAUAAUGCCAGCCAAGGUUAACAUAGAAAGUCUCUGAUCAAACUGUAUCUCCUGGAGGGUGUGUGACAUUUUCA
Molecule: non-coding RNA, 2387 nt
Organism: Podarcis muralis (Common wall lizard)
Lineage: Eukaryota; Metazoa; Chordata; Lepidosauria; Squamata; Lacertidae
Source: RefSeq, a predicted model, not a curated record